Molecule: transfer RNA, 65 nt
Filed under: Hoplopleura sp.
Lineage: Eukaryota; Metazoa; Arthropoda; Insecta; Psocodea; Hoplopleuridae
Description: tRNA-Ser
Source: RNAcentral
GGGGUAAGAAACCUGUCCAUGACUUCUAAUCAAUGGAUAAAGUGCUUAGUAACACUUUUACUCCU